RNAcentral lists this unclassified non-coding RNA (402 nucleotides) under soil metagenome. Its description in RNAcentral is "partial contains 5.8S ribosomal RNA, internal transcribed spacer 2, and large subunit ribosomal RNA". The stretch from base 1 to 121 matches the Rfam family "5.8S ribosomal RNA", at positions 35 to 154 of the family's 154-position model. The record is from RNAcentral.
GAUGAAGAACGCAGCGAAAUGCGAUAAGUAAUGUGAAUCGCAGAAUUCAGUGAAUCAUCGAAUCUUUGAACGCACCUUGCGCCCUUUGGCUAUUCCGAAGGGCAUGCCUGUUUGAGUAUCGUGAACACCUCAACUCUCAUGGUUUGCCAUGAUGAGCUUGGACUUUGGGGGUUUUGCUGGCCUUUGGUCGGCUCCUCUCAAACGGAUCAGCUUUCCAGUGUUUGGUGGCGUCACGGGUGUGAUAACUAUCUACGCCUGUGGUUUUCUGCCAGAUAACCUUCAGCGAUGGAGGUUCGCUGGGGCUCAUAAAUGUCUCUCUUCAGUGGAGACAGCUUUUUGGACGUUUGAUCUCAAAUCAGGUAGGACUACCCGCUGAACUUAAGCAUAUCAAUAAGCGGAGGA